This 30-nucleotide non-coding RNA is filed under the name Mus musculus (house mouse). Lineage: Eukaryota; Metazoa; Chordata; Mammalia; Rodentia; Muridae. The record is from RNAcentral.
GCCAAGUUCUUCUGCUUUAGGUCUCCACGC